RNAcentral lists this ribosomal RNA (492 nucleotides) under uncultured bacterium. RNAcentral describes it as "partial 16S ribosomal RNA". It matches the Rfam family "Bacterial small subunit ribosomal RNA", at positions 29 to 507 of the family's 1533-position model. The record is from RNAcentral.
AGUGAACGCUGGCGGUAGGCCUAAUACAUGCAAGUCGAACGGCAGCACAUUACGGGCUUGCUCUUACGGGUGGCGAGGGGAGGCCGGGUGAGGAAUACAUCGGAACAUACUUUUUCGCGGGGGCUAACGUUGGGAAACUAACGCUAAUAACGCAUAAGUACUGCGGGUGAAAGCAGGGAGCAUUCGGACCUUGUGAGAUGCAGUGUGCGGAUGUCGGAUUAGCUAGUUGGCGGGGUAAAGGCCCACCAAGGCGACGAACCGUAGCUGGUCUGAGAGGAUGAUCAGCCACAUUGGAACUGAGACACGGUCCAGACUCCUACGGGAGGCAGCAGUGGGGAAUAUUGGACAAUGGGCGCAAGCCUGAUCCAGCCAUACCGCGUGAGUGAAGAAGGCCUUCGGGUUGUAAAGCCCUUUUGUUGGGAAAGAAAAGCAGCAGGUUAAUACCCCGCUGUUCUGACGGUACCCAAAGAGUAAGCACCGGCUAACUUCGUG